RNAcentral lists this transfer RNA (85 nucleotides) under Felis catus (domestic cat). It matches the Rfam family "tRNA". From Rfam's summary of the family: Transfer RNA (tRNA) molecules are approximately 80 nucleotides in length. Their secondary structure includes four short double-helical elements and three loops (D, anti-codon, and T loops). Further hydrogen bonds mediate the characteristic L-shaped molecular structure. tRNAs have two regions of fundamental functional importance: the anti-codon, which is responsible for specific mRNA codon recognition, and the 3' end, to which the tRNAs corresponding amino acid is attached (by aminoacyl-tRNA synthetases). tRNAs cope with the degeneracy of the genetic code in two manners: having more than one tRNA (with a specific anti-codon) for a particular amino acid; and 'wobble' base-pairing, i.e. permitting non-standard base-pairing at the 3rd anti-codon position. The record is from Rfam by way of RNAcentral. Lineage: Eukaryota; Metazoa; Chordata; Mammalia; Carnivora; Felidae.
GCCUGGGUGGUUCAGUCGGUUGAGCGUCUGACUUCAGCUCAGGUCAUGAUCUCGCGGUCUGUGAGUUCGAGCCCCGCAUCGGGCU